CCCCUGGACAAAGACUGACGCUCAGGUGCGAAAGCGUGGGGAGCAAACAGGAUUAGAUACCCUGGUAGUCCACGCCGUAAACGAUGUCGAUUUGGAGGUUGUGCCCUUGAGGCGUGGCUUCCGGAGCUAACGCGUUAAAUCGACCGCCUGGGGAGUACGGCCGCAAGGUUAAAACUCAAAUGAAUUGACGGGGGCCCGCACAAGCGGUGGAGCAUGUGGUUUAAUUCGAUGCAACGCGAAGAACCUUACCUGGUCUUGACAUCCACAGAACUUUCCAGAGAUGGAUUGGUGCCUUCGGGAACUGUGAGACAGGUGCUGCAUGGCUGUCGUCAGCUCGUGUUGUGAAAUGUUGGGUUAAGUCCCGCAACGAGCGCAACCUUAUCCUUUGUUGCCAGCGGUUCGGCCGGGAACUCAAAGGAGACUGCCAGUGAUAAACUGGAGGAAGGUGGGGAUGACGUCAAGUCAUCAUGGCCUUACGACCAGGCUACAC
This 490-nucleotide ribosomal RNA is filed under the name Klebsiella pneumoniae. RNAcentral's name for it is "bacterial SSU rRNA". It matches the Rfam family "Bacterial small subunit ribosomal RNA", at positions 726 to 1219 of the family's 1533-position model. Lineage: Bacteria; Pseudomonadati; Pseudomonadota; Gammaproteobacteria; Enterobacterales; Enterobacteriaceae. The record is from RNAcentral.